GAUAACUACUGGAAACGGUAGCUAAUACCGCAUAACGUCGCAAGACCAAAGAGGGGGACCUUCGGGCCUCUUGCCAUCGGAUGUGCCCAGAUGGGAUUAGCUAGUAGGUGGGGUAACGGCUCACCUAGGCGACGAUCCCUAGCUGGUCUGAGAGGAUGACCAGCCACACUGGAACUGAGACACGGUCCAGACUCCUACGGGAGGCAGCAGUGGGGAAUAUUGCACAAUGGGCGCAAGCCUGAUGCAGCCAUGCCGCGUGUAUGAAGAAGGCCUUCGGGUUGUAAAGUACUUUCAGCGGGGAGGAAGGGAGUAAAGUUAAUACCUUUGCUCAUUGACGUUACCCGCAGAAGAAGCACCGGCUAACUCCGUGCCAGCAGCCGCGGUAAUACGGAGGGUGCAAGCGUAAUCGGAAU
RNAcentral lists this ribosomal RNA (413 nucleotides) under Escherichia coli. RNAcentral's name for it is "bacterial SSU rRNA". It matches the Rfam family "Bacterial small subunit ribosomal RNA", at positions 142 to 551 of the family's 1533-position model. Lineage: Bacteria; Pseudomonadati; Pseudomonadota; Gammaproteobacteria; Enterobacterales; Enterobacteriaceae. The record is from RNAcentral.